Molecule: long non-coding RNA, 561 nt
Organism: Lemur catta (Ring-tailed lemur)
Lineage: Eukaryota; Metazoa; Chordata; Mammalia; Primates; Lemuridae
Exons: 4
Source: RefSeq, a predicted model, not a curated record
CCCUCAAGUCACUGAGUCUCUUACCGGACAUGUCUGGAGACAUUUGUGUGCAGGUCAAGUGUCAGCAGCUGCCGACAGACGCCGGCCGGUCACUCUUGUCGGCUUCGCUGGGAAGAAAUUAGAGUGAAGAUGUUUCCAUGGGCUUCUAGCAGCAUCACGGCCCUGGCACUGCGCCCACCGUGCCCAGUGCCGGGCGCGUCCUCAGUACCUGCUGGGUGACGGUGACAGCAGAGAGAGCAGCCGUCCCUCCCCCCUUCGUCCUCCUUGGUGGCGUUGACCCUCGAAGGGACAGGAAGCAGCAGAGGGUGGCCAGCUGCGACCCCACAGGGGCACCAGGGCCCUCCCUCCCAUCCACCUCCCUGUACUUUCUACAGAGACCCGCACGGCCGACAGGAGGCAGCACCUUACCCCGUCUGGUCUCACCUGAGUAGUGGAUCCCGUUCUGCUCAUUACACAGACUCAAGUAAUGGGACCCCUGGAAAGGAAACACAGAUGCAGGUGAGCCUGGACCCCCCGACUCUAAAGCCUCGGAGCCUUGUGUUCUGCUCACACACACCUGAA